RNAcentral lists this ribosomal RNA (465 nucleotides) under uncultured bacterium. RNAcentral's name for it is "partial 16S ribosomal RNA". It matches the Rfam family "Bacterial small subunit ribosomal RNA", at positions 28 to 507 of the family's 1533-position model. The record is from RNAcentral.
GACGAACGCUGGCGGCGUGCUUAACACAUGCAAGUCGAACGGAAAGGCCCUGCUUGCAGGGUCCUCGAGUGGCGAACGGGUGAGUAACACGUGGGUGAUCUGCCCUGCACUUCGGGAUAAGCCUGGGAAACUGGGUCUAACACCGGAUAGGAGCCAUUUUGAGUGUGAUGGUUGGAAAGUUUUUUCGGUGUAGGAUGAGCUCGGGGCCUAUCCGCUUGUUGGUGGGGUAAUGGCCUACCAAGGCGGCGACGGGUAGCCGGCCUGAGAGGGUGGACGGCCACAGUGAGACUGAGAUACGGCCCAGACUCCGACGGGAGGGAGAAGUGGGGAAUAGUGCACAAUGGGCGCAAGCCUGAUGCAGCGACGCCGCGUGGGGGAUGACGGCCUUCGGGUUGUAAACGCCUUGCGCUAGGGACGAAGCUUUUUGUGACGGUACCUAGAUAAGAAGCACCGGCUAACUACGUG